AAGAUGGCAAAAACAUGUCACAGCCUAAAAUGAGUCAUGAUUGGCGCUCAGGAAAAUAGUCCCCUAGCAAGCCUAACAGAUUCGAAUAUAACAUAAAUAAGGUUAUAAAUAUUUUUGAUAAAUUUACAGUUUCAAGAAUGAAUAAUUACAUUUUUAACAAAAAUAAAAUAUAGAUGGAUGCUGUGACAUAUAGAGCAGAUGACGUCUAAGAACUCAACAAAGAAUAGAUACCCUUUGCAAAUCAUUAAUCUUGAAUAGAAACUAGAAAGGCUCACAUAAUCAAAUAUUUAUUCUUGAAAAAUUAUUUUUAAAAAACAGUAAAUUUCAUUUAUCGAUUAUGUAAAGAAAUUCUCAAAUGUUGGAUACACAAUAUAUAUAUACAUUCCCUGUCUUUGAAUUUAUAAGAAUGAUUUUUUUUAGAAUAACAGAGGAUAUUUCUACAACUACAAAGUGAGAGGUUUCCGAAUGAAUGAAAAAAAAAAAGAAUGCAAAUUUAUAUCAGUCCAACUAGUUCAUAAUGUCUAAAGAAAGAGAGAGGUAUUUUCUUUUGAGGAGAAGGAAAUUUAUGCAUGUAUAAUUUAAUUGUGGUGGUAUGAGAACCGUGAAGUUAGAUAAUUACCAGCUCAGAAAUCUGUAUUCAGAAAAUUUGAUGGUUAUAUACUACAAGUUAUAAAAGAAAAAUUAUAAAGAAACAAGAGUGAUUGUUGGCUAUAAUACUACAAGUUAUAAAAGAAAAAUUUUUCCAUACACAUAAUACCCUGAAUUUACAUAACAAUAACCCUGUAUAUUUGUAGCUAUCCUCUUCAAUUCAGUCCAAAAAGAUCAAAUAUUCUAUGACAAUGCUUUUUCUUGAAUAAUUUGAAUCCCACUGCAGGUUAAUAUAUGUACAAACUGCACAUACCAAGAUAAAGAUCAAUGAGUGAAGUUGAUAGGAAUGAAAUUGCUCCUGAUGGCAUCACCAGAACUUCACCUUCUAAUGACUAUUUCAGGUACAGGAUUGUCAUCUUUAAAUGUGGAAAGCAUAUUCUUGAAUCAUGUCUGCAUUAGCUACAUACCUUCAUCGCCUUGUGAAUUUGUC
This is a non-coding RNA of Arachis ipaensis, 1078 nucleotides long. Lineage: Eukaryota; Viridiplantae; Streptophyta; Magnoliopsida; Fabales; Fabaceae. The record is from RefSeq and is a predicted model, not a curated record.